CUUUGCCUAUUUGAGGUCUUCUGUAAUUCCGUACAAAUUUUAAGAUCAUGUGUUCUAGUCUGUGAAAAAUGCUAUUGUUAUUUUGGUAUGGACUGC
Molecule: long non-coding RNA, 96 nt
Organism: Mustela erminea (ermine)
Lineage: Eukaryota; Metazoa; Chordata; Mammalia; Carnivora; Mustelidae
Exons: 3
Source: RefSeq, a predicted model, not a curated record